ACCCUGAUUUAUCCUUUCCCUUGCUGGCAGCAUCAAUUUAGCCUAAAAUCUUGCUAACCAAAAUAGAAGCAUCCGAAAAAAUUGCUAGAAAAUCUUUCUCGUUGAAAAUAUAUUUUCUUAUGACGAAAAUCAUGGAAAAACAUAGCAAAAAACAGCAAGAACAAAAGAUUAAAUCAUUUAGAUGGUACAAUAACAACCAACGAUCGCAAGAAAACGGAAGAUAAGUUGAUGAGCAAAAGUUUUUCCAGAGAUUAAGUGACAAUACCAAAAUAGAUUUAUGGAUAUCGCGUCAACUGAGUCUCAAGGUGGAUGUAAUGUGCUAAUAAAACUUGGGAUGGAAUUUGACUCGGAUGAGCACGCAUAUGACUGUUAUAAUGAAUACGCAGCUUCAGUUGACUUUAGUAUUAGAAAAGAAUAUGCUAAUAAAAAUAGUGUCCAUGGGUAUGUGACUUCAACAAAAUUUACAUGUUAUAAAGAAGGUUAUAGAAGCACGGACAAACGAGAUCCGACGGUUCAAAAGCACAGAAACGAAACUAGGACAGGGUGCUUAGCUCAUAUUACUAUUAAUCGUCAAUUGAGUGGAAUGUUUCGCAUCACUUCAUUUGAAGAGAAACACAACCAUCCUCUUGUUGAUUCUUCUUUAGCUCAUCUGUAACCAUCUCAAAGAAAGAUAAAAGUUGCUCAAGCAUAUGAACUUGACUUAUUAGAUGAUUCAGGAAUACGUCCUAAAGCUUCAUUUGACUAUGCUGCUCGUCAAGCUGGAGGACAAUCUUUUCUAGGUUACACAAAGAGAGAUCACAAGAAUUAUCUUUGGGACAAAAGACAUGAAAAUUUGAAACAUGGAGUGACUCAUAGCUUGGUGAAUUAUUUUGAGAAAAUAACACUAGAAGAUCCCGCUUUUCGAUUUUCUUUACACUUAGAUGAUGAUAAUUUGAUAACUAAUGUAUUCUGGGCUGAUGCAAAGAUGAUAAGAGAUUUUAAGAUAUAUGGAGAUGUUGUGUCUUUUGAUACAACAUAUAUGACAAAUAAAGAGUAUCGACCCUUCGCACUAUUUGUUGGUUUGAAUAAUCAUAAGGAAAUGGUUAUAUUUCGUGCAGCUCUCUUGUACAAAGAAUCAACUGAAUCGUUUCAAUGGAUUUUUGAUGCGUUCUUUAGCAUUAUGUCUGCAGAUAAACCACAAACAUUCAUGACAGAUCAAGAUCCCGCAAUAGCUGCUGUUCUCUCAUCAGUAAUGCCAAAUGCAUAUCAUCGUCUAUGUGUGUGGCACUUGGAAAAAAAUGUGUUUAAACAUCUUAACCAUAUCUUUAGAGCUAAUUCAUCAUUUCCGGAAGAUUUUAGCAGAUUGCUUUAUGAUUAUGAGUAUGAGGAUGAUUUCUUAAGUGCGUAGCAGGAUAUGCUUGAGAAAUAUAAUCUUAGGGAUAAUAAUUGGUUGAAAACUACGUUUGCUCUAAGGGAGAAAUGGUCGAUGACAUAUGGAAGAAAUACAUUUUCAGCAGGUAUGUGAGUUCAUGUGUGAAAUUUCUUUGUUGAAUGGAGGUGAGUUCAAGGUCUUCUUUGAUCAGGAAAUGCAAGCACACAAUUAAGUGAGAGCUUUAAUGGAUCUUUAAGGGGAUAUUUGAAAUCUGAUUUGGAUAUCGUUCAAUUUUUUAAGUAUUUUCAGAGAUCAGUUGAUGAUAAGCGCACCAAUGAGAAUAAGUCAAAUUUUGAUAUGACUCAAAGAAUACCUAUUUUAAAGGUUAAACUUCCUUUAUUGAUUCAUGCUAGGGAUGUAUACACCCCAACUAUAUUUGACAUGUUUCAAAAUGAAUGGGAAAGGUCAUUACUUGUUUCCGUGAAGGACUUUCAUAACGAAGGAGAUUUGUGCACAUACAAUGUUGGCACUUAUGGAAGUGUAAAGGAGCAUGCAAUAACUGUCAAGCGAUCAGUAACUCAAGUUUCUUGUAGCUGCAAAAUGUUUGAGUUUGUGGGUAUAUUAUGCAGACAUGCUUUAAAGAUCAUUGAUUUACUAAAUGCAAAGGAUAUGAUUCCUGCACAUUAUAUACUAAAGAGAUGGACAAAAGAUGCUACAAACAUGCAUGAGAUGGAUGUCAAUCUAGUAGGAACAAACUCUGAUCCAAAAGUUGAAAUUAUUGCGAGGUAUAGACAUUUGUGUCAAACUUUUGUCCAAAUUUCAAGUGAAGCUUCUGAAUCCAAAGAAGGGGAUGAAUUGGCUGCAAAGUGUGCAAACGAGAUAAUUGUAAAGUUAAACGACGUAAAGAAGAGAAAUGAAUCACGUGAAGAGCCGAUUCCAAGGAAUAAUAUCCAAAAUGAACCGAGUGAGACAAUAUUUUUUGACAAUACAAAUGUCACGAAGGUGACUGGGUUAAAAAGGAAGGAGCCAACUCGCCGCUCUAAUACUCGGCCAAAGAGUUUUAUGGAAAAGGCCCAAAGAAAAAAUAAGACUUCAUUGCCAAAAUUUCCUCUUAGCUAAACUGACCAGCAGUUUGAUAACUUUUCAUCUCUUCAAGUCCCAUGUCCGCCUUUACGAGAUGCAUCAAUGACUAUGGGAGCUGCAGAAAGAAGCUUUCGUCCAUGGUGCCCUUCACAAUUGUCUCAAGGAUCAUCUCAUGGAAGUUUGACUCAGCUCUUAAGAGAUGUUUCAUUGGAUGAUUUAAACAAGUAUUCUCGACACUGAUUAUGACAACUUCGAAAAACGAAGGUUUCAUGGUGAUGGUAUUGUUCCAGAACGCGAUUUGGCAUCCUCUGUUAAUGGGUUCUGUUCCAGAACGCGAUUUGGCAUCCUCUGUUAAUGGGUUCUGUUCCAGAACGCGAUUUGACAUCCUCUGUUAAUGGAGUUGUUUCUUUUUUUACAUCAAGGCUGCAACUUAUUUUAUAGUGGAAAAUUAGCUUCUACCUUGAAAAUUCUUUUGUUUAGCAUUUGAUUAUAUGUAGAAUGAACAUGGUAUAUAUAGCAACCAUUGAUGCAGUAGCUAGAAAUGCUU
Long non-coding RNA from Lycium barbarum (goji berry), 2981 nucleotides. RefSeq lists it as uncharacterized. Lineage: Eukaryota; Viridiplantae; Streptophyta; Magnoliopsida; Solanales; Solanaceae. The record is from RefSeq and is a predicted model, not a curated record. The transcript is spliced from 5 exons.